AUGACAGGAGCAUAUGUGAUCUUAUAUGGAAAGGAAGAAGUGCCCGGCAAGGUCAGGAUCUUUGCCUGGAAGGUGGCUACCAAUACCCUAGCUACCAAGAAAAACAAGUGGAAGAGAACUUUGGAAGUGGAUGCUACAUGCAGUAUAUGUGGUAAUGGUGAGGAGGACGAACACCAUGCAGUAAUAACCUGCACCAAAAGUUGGGCCCUGCGUGCAGAAAUGAGGAAAUUUUGGGUAUUACCGGCUGAGAGCAAACUGAGAUAUACGGGAGCUGAUUGGCUGCAAGUUGCUCUUGACGCGGAAAAUGAGGAGGUCCGCGCCAAUCUACUGCUGCUCCUAUGGCGCUGCUGGCAUCAUAGGGAGGAUUGCAUGCGCAAUAAUGGCCCGCGUAUGGCUACUGGUGAUAAUGACGGGCAGAUGGGACAUUCGAAGGCGGGAGUGGGGGCAGCAUCGCACGGCUAG
RNAcentral lists this ribosomal RNA (462 nucleotides) under Triticum aestivum (bread wheat). Its description in RNAcentral is "partial small subunit ribosomal RNA". Lineage: Eukaryota; Viridiplantae; Streptophyta; Magnoliopsida; Poales; Poaceae. The record is from RNAcentral.